AACCAAGACAUGGCCCGGUUCCUCCCAGGCCCUAAAGCUAGUUACACUCCAUCUGUAAGGGAAGGAGCUCCUGCUACCUGGCACCUUCUCAGGCCUUCCAAGGACCUCUGAGCACUUUUGAAGCUGGACUGUCUUCCUCCCAGGAAGAGGCUUAGUGCUUUGAGCCCAGAGAAGCUCAGAUCAGCUCGUCAGUCAAUCCUGACAGUCUCAAAACCUGAGCAGUACAAAUAUGAGGGUUUUGUUUUUGAUUUUGUUUUGCUGUUCUGGGAAUGGAACCCAGGGCCUCAUGCAUGCCAGGCAAGCACUUUGCCAUCGAGCUAUACCCUCAGCCCCAGAAUAUGAGUAACCUUUAUCUUGAGCAUCCCCUUAGACCUUCUCAGACAAAAAGGGGCCUUUGGAGCUUCAAUCUCAGACAGCUUCCCCCUAAGAGGACAGGACUCGGGGGAAAAGGGAAGGAGGCCCCAGAAGAACCCCCUUCUCCGAGCUGGCUCAGCAGCCCCUCCCCACCAGACAACAGUUCUUCGGGGACCCACGUCGGAGCUGUCCCUGGACUGGGUGCUUCUUGUUAGUUCUCACAAUAUCCUUCUUCAGAGCCUGGCAGGGGCAACUCAUGUUAUGGAUGUAGGCAUCGAAGAUCCAAGAAUUUAAGAAAAUUUCCUUUGAGUUCAAGAUUCAGAGAUGGAGCAUUAUUAAUUGGUGUGUGUGGAGAUGGGAUUGGGUAACCAGGAUGUGGGCUGGGGCCAAGUCCUUGGCUACAUUGCCUUAUGAUGACACAAUGGAGAAAGGUCUCAUUGAGAUAGAGGUGGCCAGGUUUAAGCACACUUUUAAGGACAUGGAAGGUCUUUGGAUUUUGCUCUUAAGGAAAUUUUCUUAAACUCUCUGGCCCUCAGAUUUUUCUCCUGCAAAAUGGGAUUAUUGUGAGGAUGGUGGGAUGAUGUCUAUGAAACCAUGUAGUCCAGUCCCCAGCAUAAAAUGAGCAGGUGCUCACUAAAUGUGACUCCCUGUCUUAUCUGGCCAGGGAUUCCUUAGAGAGGCACCUGGGAUGUCCCUUUAGCCGGUCUUGGCUUUCUGGCUGGGGGUUUCCAAGACAGCUCUGUGUUCUGCAGACAGAGAGCAGCCCAGCCCCAGCCCCAGCCCCAGCUCCAGCUCCAGCUGCAGCCCCAGCUGUAGGCAAAUAAGAAAGAACUCUUACUGGGGAAAGCAUGACAGAUGAUCCACAGAAAGCCAAGAGAUAGAAGCCACUCUGAUCCAAGAGCAAGAGGUCCAUAGACCCCAGGCUAUUAAACAAGGUCAAGUGGAAAUCCUAGAUGUCAUCACACUAUUACUCAGCUGCACACUGAAGAUGAUGUCUACAACAUCCUGGUGAUUACAUUGGCCCUCACCCCUGAAUGUGCAAACUCUGCUUCUCUCCUGGGGAAUGUAGCUUGUUCCCAUAUAAUAUGUCUGUUUCACAAGUGUUGGUGUGAUUGAAUUCUUUUCCUUGUACCAAGGCCCAGUCAGAAUAGCUGAGCCACCCGGCCUUUCCUCUAUACCAAGAUGGCACAGCACGAAGGAGCCCCUGUCCUCGCCAGCUGAUGUGGUGCAGCAGGAGCCAGCCUUUCAGUUCCUGGUCUGUGCAUCUCCCAGAUUUCCACUGGGGUCCCCGCUCAGAUUCCAUCCCACCAGGGAGGCUGAUCACACUGUUUGAAAGAGCAGUCCUUUCCCUCAACCUUUCCCUUUAGCACCUAUGCAGCAUGGGUUCAAAGUAUUUGUCUCUGUGUUGGUUUUAUUAAAAAAAUUCCCCUUUUUCUUCCACUAGGAUGUGAGCUCCAUUAGGGCAGAUAUCUGCUGUGUCAUCAGUCCAAAUAGUCUAUAAGUGCUUUAAAUGCUAUUAUUUUACCAGCAAAUGGAUGGAUCCUGGCAUCAUGCCCCCUGAGGGGUUUUCCAGGUUCCCUGAGCCAUGUUGCUUCACCAAGAUGUCCUGUCCAUCUCCAUCCUUAAAUCCAGCUCCCAGCGCUGAUCUGUUGGUAAUUACUAUGACUGCCAGAACUCAGAAUGGGUACAGUUUUGAGGCCAUUAUAAGGAUUCCUUCAGAAAAGUUACGGCAUUGAUUAGUGAUGUCUGCCAUGGGACCACAAGGGAGGUAGAUGAGCUGUACUGGAAGGAGGAGAAAUUAGUCUCCUGCUCCAGGCUGGGGCCAAGAACUGCUUUUGGGUCUGAUCUUUGUAUCUCUUGGAGAGGAAAUAAGGGCUUUGGGGGUAGAGUGGACCAACCCCUCUCCCUUCCUUUAAGGAAGAGUGGGUGCCUUCCUGAGGCUGAGUCUCUUCCAUUUCAGAAUUCACCAAACCUUCUGUGAAAGGAAAUCCAGCCUCUGGCUGCUCCAGUGGAAUCUGCCAGCUCUGCAGCUCUAUGAUAGACUGGCCCCUUCCUGGUCCUUCCUUGACUGAUGAGACUAAUCAGGUGACCACGUGGCAUAGGGAAGGCCAGUCCUGCUGUGCCCUCUCACCAGCCCCAAAAUGCUGACAGGUAGUGGGCUUCCACACAGAAGCUGGGUCACCUGAAAGGAUUCUGAGGUCUAGGGAAAGACUGCUGGGGUCAGGGAGCAGUGGAUAUGAGCAGGGGCCUAGAAGGAAGGUGGCCUUGGAUCACAUCAGCUCCUCCCUCUCCUGAGACCUCGUUGUUUAUAGAAUCAAUUGUAUUCUGAGUAGACCUCUGUGGGAAGAUGGCUAGUUUCUCCUCCUUCCAGUACACAGAAUUCCAGGGAACAAGAAAAAGUAGAGUUGGGUAAAUUUACUCUGCAGACAAGAGUGACCGUGGGCACCUUCAACUUCAGCUGAUUGACAGCUGCAGCCCUCUCUCCUGGCUGUACCCCUACCUCUUUCCUGGUCCUGCCCAAACCACCUCCUUUGAAUUUCCCCACCUGUGCCCCAGGAGCUUCUGGGUAAAUUAAAGGUGGGGCCCAGUUUAGGAAGGGGCGCUGGAGGCUCACAGAGGUCAGGCCCAUCUCUAGAGGGAAUAGCUUGAGGGGCCUCUAGUGCUGUGGUUGGAUAAGGCUAUGCUCUAAGUUUUGGUGGGGUCCUGAUGUAGCCCCCAAGAAUUUAGAUAUGAAGCAAGGUGGUGGUCAUCCAUGCUGAUGCGAUGUCUUUCUUCUGCCUUGGAAGGCUGGUCCCUAGCUUUAAUAUUCUGUUAGGCAGGCCUCUGAAGCCCACGAAGGGGAAAGGCCCAUCUGAGACCCUGAAACUAGAGGAGGAAGGGUUAGAAUUCCCCUCAUUACGGCCAAAUUCCCAGACCCCCGGAGUGAUAGGCAGGAGUGGGACUCUGCCUUCUGUUUUGCCUUGGGGAGCCCAGCAGAGGGCUGCUAGACCCUGGUUUGAGGCACAAUGGGGCCAGGCAGGGUGAGGACAGUGGGCAGGAGGGUGCCCCGAGGGGAUGGGAAGUGUUGCAGCUCCUUGGGCACAAACCUGGGUGAGACGUGGUCGGCCAGGAAGCAGAGUGUGCGCUGGCGCCCCACACAGUAGAUGCGGGUGUCCACCACGGCACACUGGAAGGCGUCCGGGUAGGGCAUCCGGAACGUGGCACACUCGUACCAGAGCCGUGUGCUGGCACUGCAGCGGUACACGCUGAUGCCCAGGCUGCGGUUUAGGUCAAAGCGGUAGAGGAAGCCGUUGACAGCCACCAUCUCAGCCGUGCGGUCCUUGCUACCACCCGUGGGGCUGGGCCACCAGCGGUGAUCCUGGGCUGAGAAUCGGAGCAGCAGGUAGCGCAGCGUGCCACCUGUGACGAAGAUCUCACCAGCACACACCGUGGCUGUGUGUGCCAGGGCAAACGCGUCACUGGGGAGUGGAGGGGCAAAGGCCCAGCGGUCCAGACGAGGGUCGUAACGCUCCACUGUGUUCAGACACUCGCCCCCGAUAGCAUACAGGUGGCCAUCCAGAGCCACCAGCCGGCAGUGAGGCCGGGCCUGGUUCAGCGAACUCACUCCCGCUCCAGAUCCCUGUCAGUGGGUUAUAGCAGAAGACACGGUUGGAAGGCUGAUACCCAGACCCCUGGCAGCCAGACACCACAAAGAGAUAAUUGAAGAGG
RNAcentral lists this long non-coding RNA (4062 nucleotides) under Heterocephalus glaber (naked mole-rat). RNAcentral's name for it is "lncRNA (ENSHGLG00100046825.1)". The record is from RNAcentral. Lineage: Eukaryota; Metazoa; Chordata; Mammalia; Rodentia; Bathyergidae.